This 294-nucleotide long non-coding RNA is filed under the name Medicago truncatula (barrel medic). RNAcentral describes it as "long non-coding RNA (MTRU_LNC008149)". Lineage: Eukaryota; Viridiplantae; Streptophyta; Magnoliopsida; Fabales; Fabaceae. The record is from RNAcentral.
UCAAACAUAUUCAAAUUAGAAUCGCUUAAGGUGUCUUUACUUUCUGAAUUUGUUUUAUGAUUAUUGAUAGAUUUUCAACACUAUAAAAAAAGAAUCUAUAUAUGAUCAAACAAUCAUUUAACAAAUUAUCUCACAUGUUUUAUGACCAAAAUUAAACUAACUUAAAAGUAAAUAUAUCAUUGAAUAUUCAACAUGCAUAUGUUUUCGGUUUUCACCAAUAUUUUUGAAAGAUCGCUAAAAUAGUAGGGGCAAUAAAACUAAUUUAUUCAACAAUUGCUAACAAAAACUAUUUGG